RNAcentral lists this ribosomal RNA (253 nucleotides) under uncultured bacterium. RNAcentral's name for it is "partial 16S ribosomal RNA". It matches the Rfam family "Bacterial small subunit ribosomal RNA", at positions 524 to 776 of the family's 1533-position model. The record is from RNAcentral.
UACGUAGGGGGCAAGCGUUGUCCGGAAUCAUUGGGCGUAAAGCGCGUGUAGGCGGCUCGGUAAGUCUGCUGUGAAAGUCCAGGGCUCAACCCUGGGAUGCCGGUGGAUACUGUCGAGCUCGAGUCCGGAAGAGGCGAGUGGAAUUCCUGGUGUAGCGGUGAAAUGCGCAGAUAUCAGGAGGAACACCAAUGGCGAAGGCAGCUCGCUGGGACGUGACUGACGCUGAGGCGCGAAAGCUAGGGGAGCGAACAGG